Molecule: ribosomal RNA, 250 nt
Filed under: uncultured bacterium
Lineage: Bacteria
Description: partial 16S ribosomal RNA
Rfam family: Bacterial small subunit ribosomal RNA
Source: RNAcentral
UACGUAGGGUGCGGGCGUUAAUCGGAAUUACUGGGCGUAAAGCGUGCGCAGGCGGCUCCUUAAGUCAGAUGUGAAAUCCCCGGGCUUAACCUGGGAACUGCGUUUGAAACUGAGGGGCUUGAGUGUGGAAGAGGGGGGUGGAAUUCCAGGUGUAGCAGUGAAAUGCGUAGAGAUCUGGAGGAACACCGAUGGCGAAGGCAGCCCCCUGGGCUAACACUGACGCUCAUGCACGAAAGCGUGGGGAGCAAAC